Molecule: transfer RNA, 83 nt
Filed under: Escovopsis weberi
Lineage: Eukaryota; Fungi; Ascomycota; Sordariomycetes; Hypocreales; Hypocreaceae
Rfam family: tRNA
About the family: Transfer RNA (tRNA) molecules are approximately 80 nucleotides in length. Their secondary structure includes four short double-helical elements and three loops (D, anti-codon, and T loops). Further hydrogen bonds mediate the characteristic L-shaped molecular structure. tRNAs have two regions of fundamental functional importance: the anti-codon, which is responsible for specific mRNA codon recognition, and the 3' end, to which the tRNAs corresponding amino acid is attached (by aminoacyl-tRNA synthetases). tRNAs cope with the degeneracy of the genetic code in two manners: having more than one tRNA (with a specific anti-codon) for a particular amino acid; and 'wobble' base-pairing, i.e. permitting non-standard base-pairing at the 3rd anti-codon position.
Source: Rfam by way of RNAcentral
GGGGUGCUGGCGCAACGGUAGCGCGUCAGAUUCCAGUUCUUGGAAUUUCCUGAAGGUUAUCCGUUCGAAUCGGGUGCGCCUCA